RNAcentral lists this ribosomal RNA (216 nucleotides) under Glomeromycotina sp. Its description in RNAcentral is "partial small subunit ribosomal RNA". The stretch from base 40 to 216 matches the Rfam family "Eukaryotic small subunit ribosomal RNA", at positions 686 to 864 of the family's 1831-position model. Lineage: Eukaryota; Fungi; Glomeromycota. The record is from RNAcentral.
GGGUCAGUAGGUUGGUCGUGCCACCGGUACGUACUGGUCUCACUGAUUCCUCCUUCCUGAAGAACCGUAAUGCCAUUAAUUUGGUGUUGCGGGGAGACAGGACUGUUAUUUUGAAAAAAUUAGAGUGUUUAAAGCAAGCUAACGCUUGAAUACAUUAGCAUGGAAUAAUGAAAUAGGACGAUCGAUCCUAUUUUGUUGGUUUCUAGGAUUGACGUA